RNAcentral lists this long non-coding RNA (444 nucleotides) under Heterocephalus glaber (naked mole-rat). RNAcentral's name for it is "lncRNA (ENSHGLG00100038523.1)". Lineage: Eukaryota; Metazoa; Chordata; Mammalia; Rodentia; Bathyergidae. The record is from RNAcentral.
UGGGGGGACCUUGAAGUAGAUGUUGAUGGAGAGACAGAAGUCACAGGCCAGGAGGUCUUGGCAAUGGCUUUAAGGGACGACUGCAGGGUGGUGGGCUGGUGUCUGUCAAUGUGGCCUUGCUGCUGUGGCAGGCACAGUUCUGAGUGCUUCACCGUGUCUCCCCAGACCUCCAGAAGCCUGUUUGUGUCUGGAAGUGCUGGUGGGUGGAUAUGUGGGGAUGGUGAACACUUGGAUCUUUACAGGAUUCUGGUUCUAAAGGAAAGACAGAUGAGCAGAAAGGACUGCUGUCGAGGGUGGCACCCAGCUACGGUGAUCCGCCCAGGAUCUGCUGAGGCCAGAGACCACCGAUCUGUUGGCUGCUGGUGAUUUGACAUUUUCUCCUCAAAGGCUCCCCAGUGAAGGAGGCAAGCUGCCUGCAAGGCUGAAAGGUACCCGUGAGGGCCC